CUUUGUGAUUAUAAUGGCCAGUACAAUGGAUGUUAACAGAGUGGUAUCACGCUCCAGAGCUACAGGUGGACAGCCUGUAACACAUGCAGAGAGUUACAGCCUACAUCACAUAUAAUCUUCACUCCUCUUCAAAAUUCACUUCAAGUGCUGGACAAGUCUGAAGCUCUGCUCUUCACAAAGGAUAUGGAGGAUUUGCUGAGUGGAAGAAAGAGAAGUCUGAGCCACGACAUGGAACACUUCAGAUUAUGGAAGACUGCUGAAGAGACAAACUGUUUUCUGCUAAUUUAUGUUGAGAUGCCAUUUCACUUCUAAAAGACUUGCCCAGUGAGGUGCCCAGCCUGACACAGAGAUGCUGAACACUUGGUACAGCUAAGCAUAAACAGCUCAAAGGGUAAACCAGACCUUCCAGGCAGGUAUUGGUCUGCCAGCAGUGUCCUGGCUGCCUCCAGGGCCUCCAGCCCAGCAGUUGGGUCCUUGGGACUGCAAACCCCUACGGGUCUCCUCUGACUUCCUCGUUCAUGGCUGUGCCACAGCCCUGUGUCUGGAAGACAUAAAAAUACCUGAUUUACCUCAAAGGAAUCCACAAAGGAAAUCUGAUCCUGGUGAAAUUAAAGAGGUAUUUUGCCUUUAACAUUACUGAGCUCCUUAUUUGAUUUUUUUUCACUGAAGUUUAUACCCAUACUUAAAGCACAAGAUCUUACUGAGCUUCUCAGAUCACUGUUACUGUGAAACACUUUCCUCACAGGGCUCUGAGCACAAUAUCAUUUGUAUAACCUGCUCUU
Molecule: non-coding RNA, 782 nt
Organism: Cyanistes caeruleus (blue tit)
Lineage: Eukaryota; Metazoa; Chordata; Aves; Passeriformes; Paridae
Source: RefSeq, a predicted model, not a curated record